CAGCCGCCGCGGUAAUACGUAGGGUGCGAGCGUUAAUCGGAUUUACUGGGCGUAAAGCGUGCGCAGGCGGCCCGUUAAGACAGGUGUGAAAUCCCUGGGCUCAACCUAGGAAUUGCGCUUGUGACUGGCGGGCUCGAGUACGGUAGAGGGGGGUGGAAUUCCUGGUGUAGCAGUGAAAUGCGUAGAAAUCAGGAGGAACACCGAUGGCGAAGGCAGCCCCCUGGGCCUGUACUGACGCUCAUGCACGAAAGCGUGGGGAGCAAACAGGAUUAGAUACCCUGGUAGUCCACGCCCUAAACGAUGGGUACUAGCCGUUUGGUGCGCGAAAGCGCUGAGUGGCGAAGCUAACGCGUGAAGUACCCCGCCUGGGGAGUACGGCCGCAAGGUUGAAACUUAAAGGAAUUGGCGGG
Molecule: ribosomal RNA, 410 nt
Filed under: uncultured microorganism
Description: bacterial SSU rRNA
Rfam family: Bacterial small subunit ribosomal RNA
Source: RNAcentral